GCGCUCGUAGCUCAGUAGGAUAGAGCACAAGAUUCCUAAUCUUGGUGCCGUGGGUUCAAAUCCCGCCGGGCGCACCA
RNAcentral lists this transfer RNA (77 nucleotides) under Rhodospirillaceae bacterium. RNAcentral describes it as "tRNA-Arg". It matches the Rfam family "tRNA". From Rfam's summary of the family: Transfer RNA (tRNA) molecules are approximately 80 nucleotides in length. Their secondary structure includes four short double-helical elements and three loops (D, anti-codon, and T loops). Further hydrogen bonds mediate the characteristic L-shaped molecular structure. tRNAs have two regions of fundamental functional importance: the anti-codon, which is responsible for specific mRNA codon recognition, and the 3' end, to which the tRNAs corresponding amino acid is attached (by aminoacyl-tRNA synthetases). tRNAs cope with the degeneracy of the genetic code in two manners: having more than one tRNA (with a specific anti-codon) for a particular amino acid; and 'wobble' base-pairing, i.e. permitting non-standard base-pairing at the 3rd anti-codon position. The record is from RNAcentral. Lineage: Bacteria; Pseudomonadati; Pseudomonadota; Alphaproteobacteria; Rhodospirillales; Rhodospirillaceae.